Molecule: ribosomal RNA, 497 nt
Filed under: uncultured bacterium
Lineage: Bacteria
Description: partial 16S ribosomal RNA
Rfam family: Bacterial small subunit ribosomal RNA
Source: RNAcentral
GAUGAACGCUGGCGGCGUGCCUAAUACAUGCAAGUCGAGCGAACAGAUGAGGAGCUUGCUCCUCUGACGUUAGCGGCGGACGGGUGAGUAACACGUGGAUAACCUACCUAUAAGACUGGGAUAACUUCGGGAAACCGGAGCUAAUACCGGAUAAUAUAUUGAACCGCAUGGUUCAAUAGUGAAAGACGGUUUUGCUGUCACUUAUAGAUGGAUCAUCGCCGCAUUAGUUAGUUGGUAAGGUAACGGCUUACCAAGGCAACGAUGCGUAGCCGACCUGAGAGGGUGAUCGGCCACACUGGAACGGAGGCACGGACCAGACUCCUACGGGAGGCAGCAGUAGGGAAUCUUCCGCAAUGGGCGAAGGCGUGACGGAUGAACGCUGCGUGAGUGAUGAAGGUCUCCGGAUCGUAAGACUCUGUUAUUAGGGAAGAACAAAUGUGUAAGUAACUAUGCACGUCUUGACGGUACCUAAUCAGAAAGCCACGGCUAACUACGUG